RNAcentral lists this ribosomal RNA (253 nucleotides) under uncultured bacterium. RNAcentral describes it as "partial 16S ribosomal RNA". It matches the Rfam family "Bacterial small subunit ribosomal RNA", at positions 524 to 776 of the family's 1533-position model. The record is from RNAcentral.
UACGAAGGGGGCUAGCGUUGCUCGGAAUCACUGGGCGUAAAGGGUGCGUAGGCGGGUCUUUAAGUCAGGGGUGAAAUCCUGGAGCUCAACUCCAGAACUGCCUUUGAUACUGGCAGUCUGGAGGGAGGUAGGGGUGUGCGGAACUUCCAGUGGAGCGGUGAAAUGCGUUGAUAUUGGAAGGAACGCCGGAGGCGAAAGCGGCGCACUGGACCUCUUCUGACGCUGAGGCGCGAAAGCUAGGGGAGCAAACGGG